RNAcentral lists this long non-coding RNA (323 nucleotides) under Homo sapiens (human). RNAcentral describes it as "HSALNT0343043". Lineage: Eukaryota; Metazoa; Chordata; Mammalia; Primates; Hominidae. The record is from RNAcentral.
UUCCAAAGAAUACCUCACUGGUUGUGUCAUAUACAAGAAAAUUUUGAAUUGUUUCCACAAUUAAGACACUGACUCCUAAUCAAGUGUGUUAACCAUGUGUUGGCGAUACAGUGAUGAAUUACACAGACAUUGACUGCAUCAGUUUGAUAUAAAUAAGUAACCCAUGUUACGAUGGAGAACCAUCUCCACUGCAUGCCUGAAAAUAACUCUACAACUCCUUUUAAUAUAUUUAAGCCCAUGAAGCGAUCUGUCAACUGGAUUUUUUUCCUUGGAGACCUCUCCAUCCUCCUGCUCUGAUCUGGAAGCAUUGCUCUCUAAGCCUG